AGCUCACAGCAAAACUGGAUUCUUAUCCCACUGACCCAGGUCAGAGAUCAAAUCCAUGUCCUCAUGGAUACUAAUCAGGUUUAUUACUGUGGAGCCACAACAGGAACUCCAAGAAUAAAUUUUUAUUGUUUUAAAUUACCUUGUUUGUGGCACUUUUGUACAGUGGUAUUGGGAAAAUAAUACACUAAAUAAAACUUAUUUAAGAUAGUAUACUUUUUUCCUUAUUCUUAAUGAAGGAAAAAAAACUGAAAAGUGAAAUUUUUAAUGAUUCUUGUGUUUCCUUUUAUUUCUCUCUAAUAAAUUAAACCCAACAGACUACAUGUUACAAUGAGAAAAAUGUGUUUGAUUCUAUUUAAUAAUUUAUUUUAUUAAAUAUAUUUAAAGAGUAAUUUGUGUGUAUUCAGAUAGGCCUUGUUUCCAUUUUCUAAGUCUAGCUGUCUCUUAGGAAUUUGGAAAUUAUCAGAAAAUCAAUUAAAGCUUAGGUCUAUAAAUUUGGAAUGAUAAUCCAUGGAAGAAUGGGAUUUAAAACAAAAUAUCCAACACUGCAAAUCUAACACUUUAUGUUAAAGACAGUUAAGUAAUUCAGUUGAGGCGGUUGGCUUCUAUCCUGCGUAGCUGCUAAUAGGGGAGUCAAGGGACUGUAGAAUCUGUCUUAUCUGAAUUGGAAUCUGUGCACCCCAAUUUUAGCUAUGAGAACUUGGACAAGUCAAUUAACCUCUCUAUGCUUCAAUUCCUGUUUUCAUAAUGAUGGAAAUGAUCACUGUCUCAUUGGGCGAUGGUAAGUAUUAAAUGAAUAAGUACAUGUAAAGUGCUUAAGAAUUGUGUCCAGCAUGGAUUAAGUUUGAAGAGAUGUUGCUAUUAUUAGGAUGACUAUGUAACUUAUCUUGCACAUCUGGAGAAUUAUGGGUGUGGGAGGGGCUCUACUAUAAUUGACCUGGAUUAUGUAAUCUAAGUGUCUGGGAUAACCUGAAGUGUACGGUAAGGGAAGGUUUAAAAGCUCUGUGGACUGAAAAAGUUCAUCACAAAGGCCCUAAUAUAAACUUGAAUAAACUUCAAGUUAACUUCCUUAGAAAGUUUUUAUGGAUUUCUAAGUCCUCUAUCUUUUCUCAGUAGUUCUGAAAUCUAAACAACUUUGAACCCCCAAAGUUGUACAAGAUGUGUUUAUUACUUUGCAUUGUUUUUCAUAAAACUGUGAAACUGAAUUUAGCUGGGACAACAUUUUGUCUUUAUACAGUAAGAAUAUCAUUAUAUUCCAUGGCUGGAAAUAUUAACAUUGAAAUGGGACAGUUAAGCCUAACUGAAUGCACCAUAAUUCCUAUCUAAAAUAAGAAAUACUCGGAGUUCCCGUCAUGGCGCAGUGGUUAACAAAUCCGACUAGGAACCAUGAGGUUGUGGGUUCGGUCCCUGCUCUUGCUCAGUGGGUUAACGAUCCGGCAUUGCUGUGAGCUGUUGUGUAGGUGGCAGACACGGCUCGGAUCCUGCGUUGCUGUGGCUCUGGCAUAAGCCAGUGGGUACAGCUCCGAUUGGACCCCUAGCCUGGGAAACUCCAUAUGCCCCGGGAGCGGCCCAAAGAAAUAGCAAAAAGACCAAAAAAAAAAAAAAAAAAAAAAAAAAAAAACUCGAAAUCCAAAACACAUCUUGUUGUAAAAUUUUGUUAAGAAAAGGUGGAUUUGUAUUUGUGUCUGUUUAAUUCAGCAAAUUAUUUUAAAAAUUUAUUUUCUACGAAUUGGCCAAUUUAUUAGGUGUUAUAAUAUUCAAUUAAAAACAACCUUGAUAUAGUUCAUGAGUGUCAGAAAACAAAACAUUUACAUUUCUGGAGGAGAUAGGCACAUAAGCUUUUAUUCGUGGUACAAAGCACAUUUCUAAUUGUUCAAUGGAAAUACAAACCCUGAGGUUUGGAUAUGAAAACUUAUAGAAGGGGGCUGCAAAAAAGAGGAGCCAACUGACCCAAACUUUAAAAGAUGAUUAGGAUUUUAUUAAGCAAAAAUGUAGGGGAGGGUCCUUUUGAUUUCAGGAACCAAAACACAUUUGAUAUGUUCAAGGCACAGCAAGUAGUAUGAACGAAGUAAAAGAUGACGAUGAGAGAUAGUAAAAUCUACUAGAAAGAAUAAUUUCUGAUACCUGAGAAGAAAAAUAAUAUUAUUUUAACUCUUUUAGAAGAUAGUUUUUUUCCCCCUGUUAUUGAAAGAAGGAAAAAUACAUUUUAGGGUAGAUAUUUUGCAUGAAAUAUUUCUUUUCAAAUGAGCUAGACUGUUUUGAAUAAAGGAAUGUAGCAUUUCUGAUUUGGCCUUUUGAGACUGCAGAGAGAAACAACAAACAUAGAAACUUUAACCCCUGUGGGGUAUAUCAUUUUAUGGGAGAUAUGAGACACUGAAUUUAGAGCUUUAUUCCUCAAGAUGGAAAGACUGUACAGUAACCAACCCAUCUGCUACCAUGGCCAGUGUAACCAAGUCUUUGGGGACCAGGAGGUAGCUUUCUGUUUCUGAAAACAUUAGCUUAUUCCUGCUCCUACCUAGUAAACACAGUACAUUACAUAGAGUGUGAUUUUUCUAUUUUACCAAGGACCUGAGCCACUUCAGCAGCCUACACCUUCAUCCUCAUGAGAAGCCCAGGUAUCCUUCUCAUCACAGGUCCCACAUCUCAUGAAUCAUAAUAUGAAUGAAUGAGAGAAAGGGAGUUUAGUGGUAAUGAAUCCGACUAGUAUCCAUGAGGACAUGGGUUUGACUCCUGGCCUGGCUCAGUGGGUUAAGGAUCCAGUGUUGCCGUGAGCUGUGGUGUAGGUUGCAGAUGCGACUCAGUCUUGCAUUGCUGUGGUGGCUGUGACUGGCAGUUGCAGCUCCAAAUGUAUCCCUAGCCUGGGAACUUCUCUGUGUUGCUAGAGCAGCCCUUAAAAAAAAAAAAAAAAAUCGCUGGGAACCAAAAUAAACCAGCAUUAAUAAAAGUGAUAGUUAUGGGUAUGACCUUUGAAUAUUCAGUAUAAAAAUCAAGAGGUCUCCAAGAACCCCAAAGAUGUGGGUUAUGUAGCUUCAAAAGGGAUUGCCACGGAGAAUUAGCAAAUCCAGACAAACUUUUCUUUCUCUUGCUCAUCUCUUAGUUGUCUAUCUAAUUCUUUCUUUUGUUGAGGCAGACUGGCUGUCUCUGCUUCUUGCUUCUCAGUCUUCAUUGUAGAAGAUAACAAUUCCACAGUGUCCAAAUUGCAUAUGUUUCUUACCACCAGUCACACAUAGAACUAACUUAUUUUCUCUGCAUUCCAUUUCCAAAACCCAGAGAGCUCAUCUGAUUAGUCCAGCCAGGUUAGCCCUGCUCAUAAUCCCUGAUAUGGUCAGUUUUUGCCUGGUUCAUAAAGAGCAGGGUGGUAUCACAGAAAUCUAGCUGCUGGUUCACACAUUUGCAGGAGAAGCAGAGAGAAUAAAGUAUUUGCAAUAGCUGGAGAUGUGGAGAGACAUCUUGAAAAGUAUCUACUCAAACUAUUUCAUUAAAUUUCUUUGGUUCUUUGGAUAAUAUUGGGGAAAUAAUGUUAAAAAGACAGUUUAUCAUUUGCCAAAUCCUCGCUGUGUACAUAAAACAAUGUAUUUUUGAGUCUGGUAUAUAUUUUUUCUUUUUAGGGCUGCACCUGAAGCAUAUGGAAGUUCCCAGGCUAGGGGUUGAAUCCGAGCUGCAGUUGCUGGCCUGUGCCACAGCCACAUAAAUGACAGAUCUGAGCUACAUCUGCGACCUACGCUGCAGCUCAUGGCAAUGCCUGAUCCUUAACCCACUGGGCGAGGUCAGGGAUCAAACCCACAUCCUCAUGGAUACUAGCUGAGUCUGUUACUGCUGAGCCACAACGGGAACUCCAAGGCUGGUAUUUUUGACCAAGUUCCUUAGUCCUUCCUAGUCUCAGUUUCAUCAUCUGUAAAAUGAAGAUGAUCACACCAACCACACAAGAUUGUAACAUGCAUAAACUAAAAUAUCCAACUUAAUACUGGCAAGAAGUAGGUUGUCAAUAAAUAGUGAUUAAUAAAAGGACUGUUUAUUUGGCAUGUGUUCCAAAAUUACAAGUUAUUGCAUCAAAACUAUUUUUAGUAUGGGCCUCACACUGAUACUCCCAUAGCCAACCUGUUGGGGCCACAUACUCUAAUAAGAUGUUGUGAUGGGGUCAAGUUCAUUCCAUUGCUCAUUUACCUCUCCACAGAGCCUCUCCACACAAAAAAAGGAAAACUUUAAUACAAUGCAAUAUGAGAGUCACCUUGGCAGGUAAACAUGUUUUCUGGUUAAAUAUUGUAAGAAAAGUUAAAAGCGGAUUGUCAAAAUUCAGCUAGAAAUAAGAUCUCCAAUUCAAAAUAUUGACUCAUUGACAUUACCACUGAGAGAAGAAGGUAUGAAACUUCCAAAGAGAAACUCAACCCAGGGCAAGAAGGAGAUGAUAUGGAGUAAGCUUUUUUUUUAAGCAUCUUUUACACUCAAAUAAGAUCUGAGCUGUCAUAAAAGAAUAGAAAGAAAGAAGAUAGUAGCUAAAGAGGAAGACAAGAAGAAGAGUAAAUGAUAAUGUACAGGCAUAACCAGUAGUUUCUAUUUGCUUUGUGCUCCAGGACACAGCCAGGACAAGUCAUCAGAUCUCAGAGUGAAUUUUUCUAGUUACUGUGAAUGAUGCAUUUGGUAGGCUGUCGUGACGGAUUGUUGAUAUUAGUGGUCCUGAGUGUGAUUAAUAAGGCUUCUCUGUCUCUGACAGAGUGGGAAUGGCACCACUAAAAUUGAACGGAGAUGAUCCUACUAAAAAUCUGUUAGGGAUGCUCCUUGGGGGAAAAAAAACUGGUACAAAGGAAGUACCAGGAGUAGAAGCAUCAGUUCACCAGCUGUAGCCACAUCAAUCACAGCAAGAUAGCAAGGUCCCAUUAAACUGAAGAACACUGUGCUUCUCACUUGGUCCUCUUAACAAAGAACAUGUCCAAAUUCUUUCCAUCCUUCCACAGGAGCAUAUGUUUAUUAGGAAGCAUUGUGUUUGUACCAGUGUAUAUAUUUGUGUGAAAUGUUACCUAUGUGGAUGAAAUGAAAAAAUCAAAAUGAUAUUACAUUUGAAAUUGAGGACAUUUUUGUUUUAAAAUUUGUCAACUGUCAGGUAGGAAAAAGAGAGAGAAAGAGAGGGUCAAUCUUUGGUCUAUGAACAGAUGUGUUUAACAUUUAGGUACUAGAGCCAGGGUUUUAUAUGACAUAAAAUGAAAAUAUAUUCUCUUAUGACAGUAUAUCUUUCAUCACCAUUAAAAUACAAUAAAACUGUACGAUGGAAAAGAGGAAAUAUUUGAAAAGUUGGGUGAGGCUGGGUCAUAUAUUGAGUUAGUAUCUGAGAGUUAUGUUUCUAGUUAAGAGCAUAAGUUUUACUUGAUGGGAGUAAUACAUACAUUUGUCCAUCUCUCCUAGCUUCAGAAAUUGGAAUGUGUGCUUCUAAAAUCAAAGACAACUGUUCUUAUUGAUAGCCUGUUCAGAAGGACUGACAGCACAGAGCUUUCUACUUUUCUGGUAGGUAGUGUAGUGGGGGCUUACAUGGUACUAUUACUGAUCAAUUGCCUUGUAUAAUCAAUGUGGACUUUUGACAAAUGUCAAUACUAUAUUAACACAAUUGCCUCUCAAGAGUGGUGUAGUGUUGUAGAGAAAAACCUUUAGUGAUAACAUUAACAUUCCUAGUGAGAGAUGCUAGAUGAGCUUCUAUUUGUUCUAGGUAAAAUAAACACAAUUCUAUUGGUUCAGACCAUUCAUUCUAAGCAGACACUCUGGAAUCUUUUCCUUUUAUGUUUUUAUUAUUUUAUUAUGUUUACUUAAUUUUUUCUUUAUUUAGUUGCAAUUAGGAUAAUUUAGCAAUGGAAAUAAUCUAUACCUUCAUGAUACAUUACAAUGUACUAAGUACUUUGCAUACAUCAUUUCAUCUGGGCGUCACAACUUUUUGAUAUAUGGGCUCUUAUAAUAUUUUUUCCUCUUUCUUUUUUUCCCCAUAAGUUACUGAAGUAUGGGAGAAGGGAUGGAGAAAAGAUUCUUACGCCCAGGAGAUGGAGAUGGUCUAAGAUUUGGAAGUCACUCAAGGGAAAAGUAACUUAUGGUGCAAGUAAGCUGUUAAUUCUGUUUUCACCUUUCAACUGGUUAUUUCAGCCUCAUGUAGAUGGAAUUAAUAUUUAUCUUAAAUGAUAGGGAUGUGAUGAUCACUCAUGGUACAUAGGGUAAUAUCCAUUUUCUUGCAGAUCUGGAGUGUGUUUAAUAAAAUUUUUAUACUUAUUGUUCAUAUGUUUGUACAUAUCUUCCAUAAACACAACUAUAGCACAUUCUUGUCAGAUACAGCUCCUCCUAACUGUUAGAACAGAUCAAAUCCACAGGAGAAUAACCUGCAGCAGGUGGAUUUUAUUAAAAACAGUUUCUAAAGAUACAAACAGAUUCUGCCAAAAAGCUGUCCCUGUAUCAAACUCAGGGAUAAACUCAAUUCUUAUAAACAUAUUCAUGUGCUUUAAGUCCCAAAUAGUUAAUGUAUAUAUAAUGUUUCAGGUGACAGAAAUAAAAAGAUUUACUUAAAAAUGUUUAAGUAAAUACAGAUAUAUC
Molecule: long non-coding RNA, 6558 nt
Filed under: Sus scrofa (pig)
Lineage: Eukaryota; Metazoa; Chordata; Mammalia; Artiodactyla; Suidae
Description: lncRNA (ENSSSCG00055001856.1)
Source: RNAcentral